UGGGGAAUUUUGGACAAUGGGCGAAAGCCUGAUCCAGCAAUGCCGCGUGUGUGAAGAAGGCCUUCGGGUUGUAAAGCACUUUUGUCCGGAAAGAAAUCCUUGGCUCUAAUACAGUCGGGGGAUGACGGUACCGGAAGAAUAAGCACCGGCUAACUACGUGCCAGCAGCCGCGGUAAUACGUAGGGUGCAAGCGUUAAUCGGAAUUACUGGGCGUAAAGCGUGCGCAGGCGGUUUGCUAAGACCGAUGUGAAAUCCCCGGGCUCAACCUGAGAACUGCAUUGGUGACUGGCAGGCUAGAGUAUGGCAGAGGGGGGUAGAAUUCCACGUGUAGCAGUGAAAUGCGUAGAGAUGUGGAGGAAUACCGAUGGCGAAGGCAGCCCCCUGGGCCAAUACUGACGCUCAUGCACGAAAGCGUGGGGAGCAAACAGGAUUAGAUACCCUGGUAGUCCACGCCCUAAACGAUGUCAACUAGUUGUUGGGGAUUCAUUUCCUUAGUAACGUAGCUAACGCGUGAAGUUGACCGCCUGGGGGAGUACGGUCGCAAGAUUAAAACUCAAAUGAAUUGACGGGGUCAUAGCUGUUUCCU
This 586-nucleotide ribosomal RNA is filed under the name uncultured bacterium. RNAcentral describes it as "partial 16S ribosomal RNA". It matches the Rfam family "Bacterial small subunit ribosomal RNA", at positions 355 to 1375 of the family's 1533-position model. The record is from RNAcentral.